CAGGUCUUGACAUCCCUCUGACGUACAGGUAAAGCUGUAUUACCUUCGGGACAGGGGAGACAGGUGGUGCAUGGUUGUCGUCAGCUCGUGUCGUGAGAUGUUGGGUUAAGUCCCGCAACGAGCGCAACCCCUGCCUUCAGUAGCCAGCAGGAGAGCUGGGCACUCUGGAGGGACUGCCCGGGACAACCGGGAGGAAGGCGGGGAUGACGUCAAAUCAUCAUGCCCCUUAUGAUCUGGGCUACACACGUGCUACAAUGGCGUAAACAGAGGGAAGCGAGAUAGAGAUAUGGAGCAAACCCCAAAAAUAACGUCUCAGUUCGGAUUGUAGUCUGCAACUCGACUACAUGAAGCUGGAAUCGCUAGUAAUCGCGGAUCAGAAUGCCGCGGUGAAUACGUUCCC
Molecule: ribosomal RNA, 400 nt
Filed under: uncultured bacterium
Lineage: Bacteria
Description: bacterial SSU rRNA
Rfam family: Bacterial small subunit ribosomal RNA
Source: RNAcentral